This 5173-nucleotide long non-coding RNA is filed under the name Homo sapiens (human). RNAcentral's name for it is "non-protein coding DIAPH2-AS1:8". The record is from RNAcentral. Lineage: Eukaryota; Metazoa; Chordata; Mammalia; Primates; Hominidae.
AAGCAGAGAAGUAGACAGCUUCAGGGGAGGCAGGGGUGAGCAGAGCUGCCAAGAGCAAAAAGAAACCAUUCAUAUCACCUUAGAUACCACGGCUCUUCCUACUCCAGGUGCUUCCUGGAGAGGUAUAGAUGCAAAACUAUAGGAGUCUUUAGAAGAAGCAACCAGCCGGACUGUCUUGAAACGCGAUCAGAAAAAGCCAAGAAUAGAGAUGGGGUUGUUCAGGAAAAAUCUGUGAGGACCCUCUUUUCUGAAUGUGUGAAUCAAUGUGACAUACGUAGAAGACCCACAAGAUUUUUGAGAAUGUUCUACCAUCAGAAACACUUCCAACUGGGCCUAAAAGGGACAGAGACAGAAAAAAAUGAAAGAAGAUUGUGAGACUGCCAGAAUUCUACAGUGUAUGCAAUGGUAUGAGGAACUGUUCCACAUUAAAGGAGACUAAGAAGACAUAACAACUCGAUGCAAUGUGUGAUUCUGGACUGGAUCUUGCAUUGGAGGAGAAAAUGCUAUAAAAGUGUCUUGCUCUUUCACCCAGGCUGGAGUGCAGUGGCGCCAUCUCAGCUCACUGCAACCUCCGCCUCCCGGAUUCAAGCGAUUAUCCUGCCUCAGUCUCCUGAGUAGCUGAGAUUACAGACACGUGCCACCAUGUCCAGCAUAUAUAUAUAUAUUUUUGUAGAGAUGGGGUUUCACCAUGUUGGCCAAGCUGGUCUCCUGACCUUGUGAUCUGCCCACCUUGGCCUUUUUUUCUCUAUGUUUCUCUGACUCAACCUUUGACACUUAGAAGGUAGCACACUUCCAACAUAUCCUUCCGUCUUCCAAGAUAUAGUCCAUACAACUUUCCAUAGUUCGAAUGUUUAUCCCCCAAACCUCAUGUUGAAAUUUGAUCCCCAAUGUUGGAAGUGGGGCCCGAUGGGAGGAAUUUGGGUCAUGGAGGUGGAUCCCUCAUGAAUGACUUGAUGUCCUCCUUGUGGUAAUGAGUGAGUUCUUGCUCCAUUAGUUCCUGAGAAAGCUGGUUGUUUAAAAACAAAAACAAAAACCUGUAAGCUCCCUUCCCUCUCUCUUUCUUGUCAUUUGGUCUCUGCACAUGCCAGCUCCCCUUCUCCUUCUGCCAUAAAUGGAAUUAACCUAAAGCCCUCACCAGAAGCAGACGCUGGCACUGUGCUUCCUGUGCAGUCUGCAGAACCGUAAACCAAAUAAAUCUCCUUUCGUUAUAAAUUACCCAGCCUCAGGUAUUCCUUUAUAGCAACACUAAACAGAUUAAGACACAACUGAAGACAAAAAAACAAAUAACAACAACAAAAGCAAAUAAAUAACUCUCUUCCUACCUCAGCUCAUGCAAGCUUUGCGGUUUACAUAUCAUCUCCUUAUAGUGUGGCUCAACUUAGCCUCUUUAACUUAUUGCAACUUUUAUCUCUAUUUAGGACAUUUAUAUAGGAUGGCCUAAGAACUAAGCAAGAAAGAACUCCUUUUCCUUUGGUUGCUGGUGCUUGUGGAAUGCUUGUGGUGCUAAAGUAUAAAGUUGUUUUUUUAAUCCUCAUAUUUGCAUAUAAGCCCCCUCUUCUCAAAAUUUUCCUCUGGCACCAUAUCCUCUUCCUUUAUCCUCUUCCCUUGUUUUAUUUUCAUCACUAGUCAAAAACUGACCAGAAUCAUAGCACAACAGUUGUACUACAAAACACUUAGAACCACAAAAAGGGAAGUAAAAGUUCACAAGUUUUAAAAUCAGUUAGACUUGAUAAAGAACACGUGUCAUUUGAAGUCUUCAAAAAUGCUCAUGAGCCCUAUUUUGAGAUUUCACACAGUCUCCAUCUACUUUUUCAUCCUCUUAUAAUUAAACCUGUUUUUCCUCAAGCACCACCAUUGAAGCCCAAAAUAUAAAAUGAUCUUAUUCAACGUUAUUGCUUUUGUUUAAUUAGUAGUAUAUGAUAAAUGUGUUCACUACUGUUUCACUGCAAAUGUAUAGUAUUUCAGUAACAUUAUUGGCUAUCCUAGGGGAGCCCAACCACCAUUUAUAACACUGCCUUGGUAGGAAAAUGCUUUCUGGAUUCCAAACAACUGACAUCUAAAGCAAAGUUUUCCCACUUGGGUAAUCAGGAUUCAAACAAUAAUAUGCCCUACAUCUGUCUACAGCCAUUUGUAAGAUAGGGACUGCCUGUAUUUGAAAAACACACGCUGAUAUGUUGCUUUUAAUCAGGGAAAAAAAUGUUUGGAUGAUGAAGUUCCAUGCCUAGAUUUCUCUUCCUAGUUUUCAAUUACAUUCCUCCAUUCUAUCAGAUUAGACUCAUGUAAAUCCUAAAGAAAAUUCUGUCAGUACAAUAUAUGCUCUACUUUUAAUCUUAAAAAUAAUUUUCAUGUACGACCCAGUUAAGUAUUUGGGUUACAGAAACCUCUCAAUAACUACAGUAAUCACAGUUUUUCAGAACCAAGUAGAUGUAUUAGGACAGAUGUUUUGUUUUCAAAAUUCUAACUAAUGAAUUUAGAAUUUUUCUUUCGCUUGCAGUGGGCCUGAUCAACAUGCUACUAUUAUAUGUCGUUGCCUACCAGCAUUAAUUAGUCCGGGAACAGUAGAGGAGAAAAUGGACAAUGGUUAUUUGCAGGGUUGGGGCUAGGAGCAGCUGAGAAUUGGGUAGAGAAUGAAUGAGGAGUGCUUUUGAGUACGUACUGACAUGUUGGACAGCAGAGUCAUAGUUGGGUAGGGACAGAAAUGAGAUAGAUGGAAAAGUUGAAUGGGAAAAAGGCUUGUAGAAUACCAAACGGAAAAGCAGAAGCAGAGUGGGUGUGGACUAGGAAAGGUGGAAGGAAGUGGACAUGUUCAAAUAAGAGAAUUUUAGAGUACUUGGAGGUACAACAGUUUCAAGAGAUAAUGAAAUCUAAAUUGGUAACCAAUGGUUCUAGGGAAUCAAUGAGAAGCUUGAGUCAAAGUUGACUCAGAGUUUGAACUUAGGUGACUGGGCUUAUUACUGUUAGAGAUGGAGAAGGUAGAAGGAGUAACACACUUUGGAGGCAAGACAUACUUAGCACUAUGCUGGAAUGGAUACUAAAAAUAGUACAGUAUUCAAUGUCUAUUCUUACCUUUUGUUACCAAGUGCUAAAUGGAUUUGGUGACUUUUUUUUUUUUUUUUGGCAUUCCUUCUCAUAUGGCCUGACCACAAUUUCUUUUUUCUAUUCCCAUGGAUUCAACAAGAAGAGAUACUAUUUUAAGACUUCAAGAGCAGUGGCAUUUUUGCCCUUCAGUUUGGCAGGUCACUUUAGGAUAACCAUUCGAAGCAACCUCAUGUUCGGUGUCACAAUCUUCUGUAUAGAGCAAUCUUUGCAUGCCUGUUUCAAAGACAUUUGUGGAGGCUAUGAUCUGCUCAGGGGAAGAAAAGCUUUCUCAGAGAAAACCACACACUCCUGCUUGAGGUCAUUUUUGUUAGGAAACACGUCUGACAAGACUCCACUGAUACUAACUAAACCUGCCAUUCCAGGGUAAAGUUGUCUAAAGAUGAUGAUGAACUUCUCUGGAUAGUCAAAAUUGUGAAGUGGUUGCCAGAGGCCUGGUUUGCUGACAUUGAUCAAGGUCAAAUUUAUGUACUCAAAGUAGGAAAUAAGAAACACUUUUCAUUUAUUGCAGUCAUGCAAAUUAAGUUCACACUCAAGCGGCAUAUGACAAAUAAGCCACAGGCAAAAAGAGUUUCUAUCAAAAUAUUCAACAUAUAGUUCAGAGCAUGAGCAGUUUAUCUAGCCCCAGAUGCUCCCUGUGUCAUCAGUAUCAAAAAGGCAAAGUCAGAUAAAACUGUACUGGAAUAUGAGACUACAUGUGGGCUGGUAUAUUACUGCCCUUUUGUGUUUUUAUUUCUCCUAAUAAAUUAUAAGGUUGAUAUCUAAAGUAAAAGAAUAUUGUAUUCUUUGAUAUACUUAUACUGUACCUCAAGGCUACCCUUUGUUUGCUGUUUGUUCUUUUGUUCAUUCAUCUACUCAUUUAUUCAAAAAUGUCUGAAGGGCCUAUUAAGUUCCCAAUGACAUGCUUAAUGCCGGAUCUACAAAGAUAAAUAAGACAUGCUCCCAAUGAGCUCACUAUCUAAUAGGAAAGACAGGCAGGUAAAGAAACAAAGACAAAGCAGUGUGGGAAUUCAGUGGGAACAACAUGCUGAAAGCACCAUGCAAGAACUGAGAAAGUAUAUUCAUAGCCCCCCGGUGAUGGGGCCGAAUUGAGUUUUAAAAGGAUGAGCAGGAGUUCAUCCAAUGAAAAGAACAAGGGAGGGCAGUCCAGGCAGGGGGACACAGUGGGCAAAAUUAUAAAAGAAUGCAGGGAUUUGAAGGGGGACAAGACUGGAAGCUGGAAUGCCAUUUAGAAGAUUGCUGCAGUUGUCUCAGCAACAGUUGGUAAAACAUGGGAAUAGGACAAUGGUAGUUAGGAAGCCACAGAGGUGACACAUUCAAGAAAUAUUUAGGAAGGAAAACGGGCAGGAUACAGAGAUUGUGAGAUGUGGAGAUUUAUAGAGAAGGAAGAAUCAAGGUUCACACCCAGUUCCCUGCUAGAGUGAGUAGCUGGAUGGUGGUGCCGCCUACAAAGAAUCAAAAACGGAAUAGAUUUUAGAAGAAAAAGCAGAGUUAAGAUUUUGACAUGAACUGAAGGUGCCUAUUGAACAUCUAGGUAGAAUUGUCCAGCAGGCAUUUCAUUAUGCAAGCCUUAAGUUCCAGGAAGAACUGUAGGCUAUAGCUACGGAGUUAGAAAUGAUUUGCAUAUAGACAGUUAAAAAUAUGAGAGUGGGUGAAAUCACACAGAAAGAUUCUUGUGUAGAGUGUGAGGGUUGAACCUUGGUGAACAAAAGCAUUUAAUGUACAAGGAGAAAAAGAAACAUCAAUGAUGAGGAUGAAUCAAAAGGUAUCAGAAAAAUCAGGAAACGUAUGUUGUUGUCACAAAAACAACAAUAAAUUUCAACUUUGUAGAGAAAUCCACAACUAUGGAGAUGACAGAUUCUGAAUUUUUUCUAGGGUUGUGUUCUAGUAGAGUUACAGUAAAGGUGCAAUAUCUUAUCUAUGCCUCUAUUUCUGGGCAAGUAAGUGUCUGACUCAUUGUAAGUUUUCAACAAAUAUUUACUGAAUGAAUGUAUGUCAAUGUGAAGAAUAUAUGUUGUUAAGUAAAAUAUAAAGGCACAUGGACAUGGAAAGCACUUAAGUCAUUUUUACUAUGGUA